AACUGCUGCACAAGGAGUGUUCGAUUGGACUCCUUUUCACACAAUGAACAACCAGCUUAGAACUGAUGCGGGCAAGGGGAAUCCGACUGUUUAAUUGAAACAAAGUAUUGCGAUGCCCUGAAAGGAUGUUGACACAAUGUGAUUUCUGCCCAGUGCUCUGAAUGUCAAAGUGAGGAGAUUCAACUAAGCGCGGGUAAACGGCGGGAGUAACUAUGACUCUCUUAAGGUAGCCAAAUGCCUCGUCAUCCAAUUAGUGACGCGCAUGAAUGGAUUAAUGAGAUUCCUACUGUCCCAAUCUACUGUCCAGCGAAACCACAGCCAAGGGAACGGGCUUGGGUGAGUCAGCGGGGAAAGAAGACCCUGUUGAGCUUGACUCUAAUCCGACUUUGUGAAAUGACUUAGGAGGAGUAGGAUAUGUGGGAGCUCAGGUGAUCUUGAAAUACCACUACUUUUAAUGUCACUUUACUUACUCUAUCCAACUGUGCCCUGCCUCACAGCAGGUUUUUGCUUUUAAGGUUGCUCUUUUGGCUGUUGAUUUGCGUAGAAGACGUCGUCCGGUGGGGAGUUUGGCUGGGGCGGCACAU
Molecule: ribosomal RNA, 584 nt
Filed under: Gambierdiscus excentricus
Lineage: Eukaryota; Dinophyceae; Gonyaulacales; Pyrocystaceae
Description: partial large subunit ribosomal RNA
Rfam family: Eukaryotic large subunit ribosomal RNA
Source: RNAcentral